UGCUAACGUAUCAGAAACAGACUCUACCCUCAAGGAACUAAUUAUACUCCUGCAGAAAUAAAUAUGUGAUAAAAAUUAUGCACUAUGAAAUAGUAGAAUAAUUAAGUUCUACCCACCCAAAUCUUGGAAGUACCAAUGCAUUUGUACAAAAAACAAUUGUUGUGAGUUUAGGAAAUGCAACAUCUGCCCCUUGUUCUAGGGCAAAGUUUUAAUUCGAAGUCCCUACACAUUGUCCUUCUUAACAAAAGAGAAAAGCUCAUCUGACCUAAUUAGUCUUAUUUUCCAAUCAAUAGGAAAUUUCUCAGCUUAACUGUAAGAUUAGCUUUAAUUGCACUUAACCUUUAUGCCAAAGAGUUUCCCAAGUCUUAACUGAUAUUUACAAAAGCUAAUUCACACUGGCUCUUUCCUGUCAGUAUAUUAACCACAGAACAAAGGGGCUCUGUGAAGCAGUCCUAGGAAAAGACUGAGUGGGUAUCUUUUUCCAAUUGCUCAAAACUGAGGCUCCUAUUUUCUGGGGAACAAGGAGAUCAAAGGUUUAGGAAUCAGAAAUCGACAAUACAGAGAUGUCCAAACAUGAGCUACUGAAGAUAAGCAGGAUUCUGUAUUCCUUGGAGCCUCCAUUAUAUUGAUAGUAAUUUUUUAAAGAUCAUUAGACCUCUCAGAUGUGAAGACAAAUAUGGGAAAUGACAGGUGUAAAACAUCAGAAUUUUGGAAGAUAGAAAACAAAGAGUGGGAAACUAAGUCAAAGCAGAGAAGCUACAACUAACUUCCUGCAGAGGAAGAAACAGAGAGGAAGACACAUUGGGUCUGUCCUGAAGAAUUUGCAAAUGGUAGACUGGAGGAACCAAGUGUCUGUGAAAGGGCAAAGAUAUUAACUCACAGGUGCAAACCAAGGUCUCCAAAGUCAGAGGCAAAAGUCUGAUGAGGAGAUGAAGGCAGAGGAAGGGAUUACUAGAAGUUGGACAGACAAGAUCUAGAAUCCAGGGUGGACAUUCUGAACAUAUCACAAGUACCC
RNAcentral lists this long non-coding RNA (1015 nucleotides) under Marmota monax (woodchuck). The record is from RNAcentral. Lineage: Eukaryota; Metazoa; Chordata; Mammalia; Rodentia; Sciuridae.